GGGGUCGACCGGUUUUGACAGUAAGUGGCAUUAAAUAGUAAGCAUACCGAGCUGUGAAAUGAAUGCUCGAUAAUCUCUAUUUCAAAAUUUUAAAUGGCGAGAAUAACUACGCUCUUGCUGCCUAAUCUGAAGUUUAGUAAGAUUGCUGGCUAAGUCCCUACAAGGUAGGGAAGCGAGAUGUCUCUGAAAAGCCCUUGUUGACGGCGUUUCGUACAGAGGCACCAUAAAAGUCAACAUUGAACCUGCGGUACGCUUCUGCUAACGGUUCUUAAGCAAAGGAAGCUAAGCGCAAAAUGGGCGGUGCUCGGUCAGUUUUGCGACGAAAAUCAAACGAGGACUAAGUAUGUAGAAAGCUUUUUGAUGACUUAUUUGGACGAGAGUUCGAUUCUCUCCGACUCCACAU
This is a non-coding RNA of Capnocytophaga ochracea DSM 7271, 403 nucleotides long. It matches the Rfam family "transfer-messenger RNA". From Rfam's summary of the family: Bacterial tmRNA, also known as 10Sa RNA or SsrA, is named for its dual tRNA and mRNA-like properties. Its role is to liberate the mRNA from a stalled ribosome. To accomplish this part of the tmRNA is used as a reading frame that ends in a translation stop signal. NCBI's taxonomy places the organism in Bacteria, Pseudomonadati, Bacteroidota, Flavobacteriia, Flavobacteriales, Flavobacteriaceae. The record is from Rfam.